ACAGUGUCUGGUGGGUAGUUUGACUGGGGCGGUCUCCUCCUAAAGAGUAACGGAGGAGCACGAAGGUUGGCUAAUCCUGGUCGGACAUCAGGAGGUUAGUGCAAUGGCAUAAGCCAGCUUGACUGCGAGCGUGACGGCGCGAGCAGGUGCGAAAGCAGGUCAUAGUGAUCCGGUGGUUCUGAAUGGAAGGGCCAUCGCUCAACGGAUAAAAGGUACUCCGGGGAUAACAGGCUGAUACCGCCCAAGAGUUCAUAUCGACGGCGGUGUUUGGCACCUCGAUGUCGGCUCAUCACAUCCUGGGGCUGAAGUAGGUCCCAAGGGUAUGGCUGUUCGCCAUUUAAAGUGGUACGCGAGCUGGGUUUAGAACGUCGUGAGACAGUUCGGUCCCUAUCUGCCGUGGGCGCUGGAGAACUGAGGGGGGCUGCUCCUAGUACGAGAGGACCGGAGUGGACGCAUCACUGGUGUUCGGGUUGUCAUGCCAAUGGCACUGCCCGGUAGCUAAAUGCGGAAGAGAUAAGUGCUGAAAGCAUCUAAGCACGAAACUUGCCCCGAGAUGAGUUCUCCCUGACUCCUUGAGAGUCCUGAAGGAACGUUGAAGACGACGACGUUGAUAGGCCGGGUGUGUAAGCG
Molecule: ribosomal RNA, 630 nt
Filed under: Escherichia coli
Lineage: Bacteria; Pseudomonadati; Pseudomonadota; Gammaproteobacteria; Enterobacterales; Enterobacteriaceae
Description: partial 23S ribosomal RNA
Rfam family: Bacterial large subunit ribosomal RNA
Source: RNAcentral